CGGGAAUCUUGCGCAAUGGGCGAAAGCCUGACGCAGCAACGCCGCGUGCGGGAUGAAGGCCUUCGGGUUGUAAACCGCUUUCAGCAGGGACGAAAAUGACGGUACCUGCAGAAGAAGCCCCGGCCAACUACGUGCCAGCAGCCGCGGUAACACGUAGGGGGCGAGCGUUGUCCGGAUUUAUUGGGCGUAAAGAGCUCGUAGGCGGUUUCGUAAGUCGGGUGUGAAAACUCUAGGCUCAACCUGGAGACGCCACCCGAUACUGCGAUGACUAGAGUCCGGUAGGGGAGCGUGGAAUUCCUGGUGUAGCGGUGAAAUGCGCAGAUAUCAGGAGGAACACCAACGGCGAAGGCAGCGCUCUGGGCCGGAACUGACGCUGAGGAGCGAAAGCGUGGGUAGCGAAC
This 401-nucleotide ribosomal RNA is filed under the name uncultured bacterium. RNAcentral describes it as "bacterial SSU rRNA". It matches the Rfam family "Bacterial small subunit ribosomal RNA", at positions 356 to 773 of the family's 1533-position model. The record is from RNAcentral.